AGAGUUUGAUCCUGGCUCAGAUUGAACUCUGGCGGCAGGCCUAACACAUGCAAGUCGAGCGGUAGCACAGAGAGCUUGCUCUCGGGUGACGAGCGGCGGACGGGUGAGUAAUGUCUGGGAAACUGCCUGAUGGAGGGGGAUAACUACUGGAAACGGUAGCUAAUACCGCAUAACGUCGCAAGACCAAAGUGGGGGACCUUCGGGCCUCAUGCCAUCAGAUGUGCCCAGAUGGGAUUAGCUGGUAGGUGGGGUAACGGCUCACCUAGGCGACGAUCCCUAGCUGGUCUGAGAGGAUGACCAGCCACACUGGAACUGAGACACGGUCCAGACUCCUACGGGAGGCAGCAGUGGGGAAUAUUGCACAAUGGGCGCAAGCCUGAUGCAGCCAUGCCGCGUGUGUGAAGAAGGCCUUCGGGUUGUAAAGCACUUUCAGCGGGGAGGAAGGCGGUGAGGUUAAUAACCUCAUCGAUUGACGUUACCCGCAGAAGAAGCACCGGCUAACUCCGUGCCAGCAGCCGCGGUAAUACGGAGGGUGCAAGCGUUAAUCGGAAUUACUGGGCGUAAAGCGCACGCAGGCGGUCUGUCAAGUCGGAUGUGAAAUCCCCGGGCUCAACCUGGGAACUGCAUUCGAAACUGGCAGGCUAGAGUCUUGUAGAGGGGGGUAGAAUUCCAGGUGUAGCGGUGAAAUGCGUAGAGAUCUGGAGGAAUACCGGUGGCGAAGGCGGCCCCCUGGACAAAGACUGACGCUCAGGUGCGAAAGCGUGGGGAGCAAACAGGAUUAGAUACCCUGGUAGUCCACGCUGUAAACGAUGUCGAUUUGGAGGUUGUGCCCUUGAGGCGUGGCUUCCGGAGCUAACGCGUUAAAUCGACCGCCUGGGGAGUACGGCCGCAAGGUUAAAACUCAAAUGAAUUGACGGGGGCCCGCACAAGCGGUGGAGCAUGUGGUUUAAUUCGAUGCAACGCGAAGAACCUUACCUGGUCUUGACAUCCACAGAACUUUCCAGAGAUGGAUUGGUGCCUUCGGGAACUGUGAGACAGGUGCUGCAUGGCUGUCGUCAGCUCGUGUUGUGAAAUGUUGGGUUAAGUCCCGCAACGAGCGCAACCCUUAUCCUUUGUUGCCAGCGGUCCGGCCGGGAACUCAAAGGAGACUGCCAGUGAUAAACUGGAGGAAGGUGGGGAUGACGUCAAGUCAUCAUGGCCCUUACGACCAGGGCUACACACGUGCUACAAUGGCAUAUACAAAGAGAAGCGACCUCGCGAGAGCAAGCGGACCUCAUAAAGUAUGUCGUAGUCCGGAUUGGAGUCUGCAACUCGACUCCAUGAAGUCGGAAUCGCUAGUAAUCGUAGAUCAGAAUGCUACGGUGAAUACGUUCCCGGGCCUUGCACUCACCGCCGGUCA
This 1399-nucleotide ribosomal RNA is filed under the name uncultured bacterium. RNAcentral's name for it is "bacterial SSU rRNA". It matches the Rfam family "Bacterial small subunit ribosomal RNA". The record is from RNAcentral.